GGGUACGUAGCUCAGGGGCAGAGCGUCGGGCUUUUAACCCGGGGGUCGCAGGUUCGACCCCUGCCGUACCCA
This 72-nucleotide transfer RNA is filed under the name Picocystis salinarum. RNAcentral describes it as "tRNA-Lys". It matches the Rfam family "tRNA". From Rfam's summary of the family: Transfer RNA (tRNA) molecules are approximately 80 nucleotides in length. Their secondary structure includes four short double-helical elements and three loops (D, anti-codon, and T loops). Further hydrogen bonds mediate the characteristic L-shaped molecular structure. tRNAs have two regions of fundamental functional importance: the anti-codon, which is responsible for specific mRNA codon recognition, and the 3' end, to which the tRNAs corresponding amino acid is attached (by aminoacyl-tRNA synthetases). tRNAs cope with the degeneracy of the genetic code in two manners: having more than one tRNA (with a specific anti-codon) for a particular amino acid; and 'wobble' base-pairing, i.e. permitting non-standard base-pairing at the 3rd anti-codon position. Lineage: Eukaryota; Viridiplantae; Chlorophyta; Picocystophyceae; Picocystales; Picocystaceae. The record is from RNAcentral.